Molecule: ribosomal RNA, 470 nt
Filed under: uncultured bacterium
Lineage: Bacteria
Description: partial 16S ribosomal RNA
Rfam family: Bacterial small subunit ribosomal RNA
Source: RNAcentral
GACGAACGCUGGCGGCGUGCUUAACACAUGCAAGUCGAACGGUGAACGAGGGAGCUUGCUCCCUCCGGAUCAGUGGCGAACGGGUGAGUAACACGUGCGCAAUCCGCCCCGAACUCUGGGAUAAGCGUUGGAAACGACGUCUAAUACCGGAUACGACGCGCGAGGGCAUCCUCUCCGCGUGGAAAGAACUUCGGUUCGGGAUGAGCUCGCGUCCUAUCAGCUUGUUGGUGAGGUAACGGCUCACCAAGGCGACGACGGGUAGCCGGCCUGAGAGGGUGACCGGCCACACUGGGACUGAGACACGGCCCAGACUCCUACGGGAGGCAGCAGUGGGGAAUAUUGCACAAUGGGCGCAAGCCUGAUGCAGCAACGCCGCGUGAGGGACGACGGCCUUCGGGUUGUAAACCUCUUUUAGCAGGGAAGAAGCGAAAGUGACGGUACCUGCAGAAAAAGCACCGGCUAACUACGUG